RNAcentral lists this long non-coding RNA (2120 nucleotides) under Salmo salar (Atlantic salmon). RNAcentral describes it as "lncRNA (ENSSSAG00000089955.1)". The record is from RNAcentral. Lineage: Eukaryota; Metazoa; Chordata; Actinopteri; Salmoniformes; Salmonidae.
CGGCGAAAGCAAACCAUGCGAUUAUCUGAGGACAGCGCCCAGCACACAAAUGCAUAACAAAUCAUUUUCAACCAGGGAGUUGCGACACGAAAGUCAGAAAUAGUAAUAUAAUAUAUGCCUUACCUUUGAAGAUCUUCUUCUGUUGGCACUCCAAAAGGUCCAAGUUACAUUACAAAUGGUCUUUUUGUUCAAUAAAGUCCUUCUUUAUAUCCAUAAAAACUCAGUUUAGCUGGUGAGCUUCAGUCAAUAAUCCACUCGGUUUCCCUCCUUCAAAAUGCAUACAAAAUGAAUCCCAAACGUUACCAAUAAACUUAUCCAAACAAGUCAAUCAAGGUUUAUAAUCAAUCCUUAGGUACCCUAAUAUGCAAAUAAACAAUACAAUUUAAGACGGAGAAUCGUUAUUGUCUUUACCGGAGAUAAACAAAAAGAAUGCGCUCUCUCGGCCAUGCGUUUGGAAACACUACAGCCAAAAUGGGAGCCACUUAGAAAAACUACAACUUCUCCCUCAUUUUUCCAAAAAACAGCCUGAAACUCUUUCUCAAGACUGUUGACAUCUAGUGGAAGCCCUAGGAACUGCAAUCGGGGACGAUUUCGCCCUAUUAUUAAAGUGCCAAUAUUUUUUUGUUGUUGAUUGUUUAUACUCAGGGUUUCGCCUGCCAUUUCAGUUCUGUUAUACUCACAGACAUUAUUUUAACAAUUUUAGAAACUUGAGAAUGUUUCUAUCCAAAUCUACCAAUUAUAUGCAUAUCCUAGCUUCUGGGCCUGAGUAGCAGGCAGUUUACUUUGGGCACGCUUUUCACCCAGACGUCAAAAUAUCGCUUAAGUGCAGACCUCAGGACCUCGGUUAAGACAGAAUGCGGCCUGCUGGGCAACAUGAGUUUAACACCCUUGAACUAGAUGUACAACAAAGCAGGAAAGCUCAAGGAACGGACAUGGUAUGUUAGGAAAGGUCAUGGUAUGUUAGGAACGGUCAUGAUAUGUUAGGAACGGUCAUGGUAUGUUAGGAACGGUCAUGGUAUGUUAGGAACGUCAAGAUAUGUUAGGAACGGACAUGGUAUGUUAGGAACGGUCAUGGUAUGUUAGGAACGGUCAUGGUAUGUUAGGAACGUCAAGAUAUGUUAGAACGGUCGUGGUAUGUUAGGAACGGUCAUGGUAUGUUAGGAACGGUCAUGGUAUGUUAGGAACGGUCAUGGUAUGUUAGGAACGGUCAUGGUAUGUUAGGAACGGUCAUGGUAUGUUAGGAACGGUCAUGGUAUGUUAGGAACGGGCAUGAUAUGUUAGGAACGGUCAUGAAAUGUUAGGAACGGUCAUGAUAUGUUAGGAACGGACAUGGUAUGUUAGGAACGGUCAUGAAAUGUUAGGAACGGUCAUGGUAUGUUAGGAACGGUCAUGGUAUGUUAGGAACGGUCAUGGUAUGUUAGGAACGGUCAUGGUAUGUUAGGAACGGUCAUGGUAUGAACGGUCAUGGUAUGUUAGGAACGGUCAUGGUAUGUUAGGAACGGUCAUGGUAUGUUAGGAACGGUCAUGGUAUGUUAGGAACGGUCAUGGUAUGUUAGGUCAUGGUAUGUUAGGAACGGUCAUGGUAUGUUAGGAACGGUCAUGGUAUGUUAGGAACGGACAUGGUAUGUUAGGAACGGUCAUGGUAUGUUAGGAACGGUCAUGGUAUGAUAGGUCAUGGUAUGAUAGGAACAGACAUGGUAUGUUAGGUCAUCAUAUGUUUCACCUUGCAGUAUAUUUAGUAUGCUUUGUGCAUACUGGCCAGUGUUGAACAGGGCUGACACGCACGCACGCACACACACACACACACACACACACGCCAAAGCAUGCGCACACACACAAACACACGCACACACAGAUGCGUGCCAAAGCAUACAGUAUAUACACACAGGAAAACACACACACACAGGAACAAACACACACUGCCGCCAACUCGUGAAUUCAUGAUGAGUCAGCCACCCUGAGCUAAACUUCACUGGCAGGGCUUGAAACAAUGUCACCAGGAUAAGCCUGUCAGUUUAAAGUUAGACUCCACACUUUUAAAAAAAAAACAUGUGAAAAUCGUAUUUGUUUAAUCAAUUUUCCUGAUUUUGCUAAUUGUUACUUUGGACAAAAUCAAAAUG